CCCUCCUCCUCCACCUUCUCGUCCAGCCGGCUGGGGAUGGACCAGUAGAGAUGGGCGUCAAGGCGGGCUGCGGCCUCGGCCAGCUCCCGGGCGCUGCAUGAGGGUGUGGGCACCUCAAAGGUCUGGUGGAAGCUGGCAUAGUCUACCUCGUAGAAGCCAUCCUCCAGGGUCAGCACUGACGUGAAGCGGUGACCCCACAGCACCUCAUCCACCAGCCCGCCCGCACCCGUGGCUUCCACCAUGCCCUCGAGGAUGACGACGAUCUCGAAGUCGUCCCUCUCGAGGGCGCGGCGCGACGCCUCCCAGAAGGGGCUGGCGGCGUCGAUCUCGUGGCUGAUGACGAGCGGUGAGACGAGGAAGAGGCGGUCGUCGCCCGUGUCAAAGCCCACGCUGAGGUCGGUCUGGUGCAGCGGGAUGAACUCGCCCUCGAGCGUCUGGCGCGAGCGGAUGAGCUUGGCGCGGAUGGAAGCCUCGACUAUGUGCGACGAGCGCAGGUCGCCCACGCGGAACAUGAGGCAGAGGCGCCCGUCGCGCAGCGACACCACGGCGUGCGAGGAGAAGACGAGCGUGGCGGCGCGCUUGUUGGGCUGCGAGAUCUUGACGAACAUGCAGCCCACCAUGAAGGCGUUCACCAUGGAGCCCAGGAUGGCCUGCAGCAGCAGCAGCACGAUGCCCUCGGGGCACUGGUCGGUGAUGACGCGGUGCCCGUAGCCGAUGGUGGUCUCCGUCUCGAUGGAGAAGAGGAAGGCGGCCACGAAACCGUUGAGGUUGUUGACGCACGGCGUCCACGCCGUGUCCUCCAGGUGCUCCAGGUCGCCGCGGCCGUAGGCGAUCAGCCACCAGAUGGCGCCGAAGAAGAGCCAGGUGAGCGCGUAGGCCAGCACGAAGAAGAGCAGGCUCAGGCGCCACUGCAGGUCCACGAGCGUGGUGAACAGGUCGGUCAGGUAGCGGUACGUCUCGCGCACGUUGCCCUGCUGCACGUUGCAGCGGCCGUCCUUCUCCACGUAGCGCUGGCGGCCGCGGCGCCGCGGCUGCUCCUCAGGCCCCGGCGAGAAGGCGGCGUUCUCCUGCGCCAUGGCCGUGGCCGCGGCGGGGAGGUCACGGCCCGGGCGGCGGCGCGGGGCCUGGAGGGGCUGAGAGGUGGGCCAGAUUAGCCGAGCCGCGGGAGAGGCCGAGACGUCCGGGCCUGCGCCCAGGGGCCGGGUGGCCCAGAGCGAGUCCCUUGCUGUGUCAGCCUCAGCUUUCCGCAUCGGUAGAAUGGGAGCAAUACACACAACCCUAGCCGUCCCCACCCCCAGCUCACAACACCGUGAAGAUCAAAUGGGAUAGUGUGUAUGAACUGGAUCGCACUCUGCACGACUGAGUGUUUUCAGGGAAACGGGGUACCAGAGGUCUUGGUCCCACUGCUCUAACUGGGCUGCACAGCACCUCACGGCCACCCCCAGGCGAGAGGCCCAGGCAAGGAGGGAGCUUCCGGAAACGCUUAGGCUGUGGGUUCCUUCGAGGCAGGUGCUUAAUCUUCCUCUCCUGUGCAGAGCCCUCCCUGCCCGAAGGCCACCCCCGCCCCACUCCGCCCUGGCUGAUAUCAGGCAGUCCCCUAAUCCCUGUCUCCGCAAUUCAACCUGCUGUCUAACCAGGCUCUUUGGAAGUUCACCUGGAGACUGACACAGAAAGUCUUUCCCAUUCCUCCCUCCUUGGACCUCGCUUACUCUACCCCCUCCCACAUCUUCUUCCUCUCAACAAGCUUACGAAGGAGAAAUGGAAGUGGUGGAAAACGAGUGAAAAAUCUCCAGUGGGCAAGGGUUGAACAUUCCCACCUUGGGAAAUUCCUACUGGAAAUCCUCCCUGAGGACUGACCAUGAUCAUUGCGGCUGUAGCGUCAGCCCCAUUUCCCCUAGGUUAUUUCCACAGUGGAGACAGCCUGCAAAUGGGCAGGAGGACGGGAGAAUAUGAGAUCAACACGGACAGCCGGGGUAAAGGAAGCACAAAGUUCAAGCCCACGAUGUCCUCGAUUGGCUUAGAGAUCACAGGUCAUUCAGAGAAGUACCUGGGCCCACUUAUUCCAGCUUCUGCCAAGGUGGGCUUUCGGAUGUUCUCUCAGGGUCUUAGGUAAUCUGACCCCCAAUCUGCCUGCUGAGGCAGAUUUCUCUGCCCAGGUGUGGGGAAGAAACGCCAGAGUCUGAUGGCCCCCAGAACUCUCUCACCCGCCAUUGCCCUGGGAAUCUAGGUGAGCCUCACUUUGAUUGUGUUUUAUCUCCUGUCUUCGGGC
Molecule: non-coding RNA, 2269 nt
Organism: Delphinapterus leucas (beluga whale)
Lineage: Eukaryota; Metazoa; Chordata; Mammalia; Artiodactyla; Monodontidae
Source: RefSeq, a predicted model, not a curated record